This 253-nucleotide ribosomal RNA is filed under the name uncultured bacterium. RNAcentral's name for it is "partial 16S ribosomal RNA". It matches the Rfam family "Bacterial small subunit ribosomal RNA", at positions 524 to 776 of the family's 1533-position model. The record is from RNAcentral.
UACGAGUGCGUCGAGCGUUAUCCGGAAUCAUUGGGCGUAAAGGGUGUGUAGGUGGCGUUGUUAGUCUCCUGUAAAAUUCCUCGGCUCAACCGGGGGCGCGCGGGAGAAACGGCAAUGCUAGAAGAUGGCAGGGGUUACUGGAACUCUAAGUGUAGCGGUGAAAUGCGUUGAUAUUUAGGGGAACACCAAAAGCGAAGGCAGGUAACUGGGCCAUUCUUGACACUGAAACACGAAAGCGUGGGUAGCGAAUGGG